RNAcentral lists this unclassified non-coding RNA (394 nucleotides) under Hevea brasiliensis (rubber tree). Lineage: Eukaryota; Viridiplantae; Streptophyta; Magnoliopsida; Malpighiales; Euphorbiaceae. The record is from RNAcentral.
AAUGUAGGGAUUGAGAUUCCAACAUAUAACCACCAUAUCAAUAUAUCACCAAUUAAGUUUCCCAAAAACAAAUACAAUUAUUGCACAGUUAGAUAAGAAAUAAUCAUCAUUAUUCCUUUUCAUUGUAUAGUAUGCCUUCAUGAAAAGAAUAAUCAGUUACCAAACAUUGGCUAGGAAACGCAUGCCAUACUUGCUUCCAGAAAAUAGAAUGUCUAACUUCCUGCUCAGAAUCCCCUUAAAUAUUUUAGAACUCGAAUUUGCCAUGGUAAAACACUUCUGAUGUUCAGAGAUCAAUGUUACAAAAGACUACACGCCAAAGAAUAAUGAAAAUUUGCAAACCUAGACAAAAAGCUCCACUAGCUAUAAAACAAAUAAACAUACUGUUAGAACCAAA